UCUAGGGUGGCUGCAGUGGGGAAUAUUGGACAAUGGGCGAAAGCCUGAUCCAGCCAUGCCGCGUGUGUGAAGAAGGCCUUCGGGUUGUAAAGCACUUUCAGUGGGGAAGAAAGCCUUGGGGCUAAUACCCUCGAGGAAGGACAUCACCCACAGAAGAAGCACCGGCUAACUCCGUGCCAGCAGCCGCGGUAAUACGGAGGGUGCGAGCGUUAAUCGGAAUUACUGGGCGUAAAGCGCGCGUAGGCGGUCUGAUAAGCCGGUUGUGAAAGCCCCGGGCUCAACCUGGGAACGGCAUCCGGAACUGUCAGGAUAGAGUGCAGGAGAGGAAGGUAGAAUUCCCGGUGUAGCGGUGAAAUGCGUAGAGAUCGGGAGGAAUACCAGUGGCGAAGGCGGCCUUCUGGACUGACACUGACGCUGAGGUGCGAAAGCGUGGGUAGCAAACAGGAUUAGAUACCCCAGUAGUC
This 464-nucleotide ribosomal RNA is filed under the name Vreelandella stevensii. RNAcentral describes it as "partial 16S ribosomal RNA". It matches the Rfam family "Bacterial small subunit ribosomal RNA", at positions 338 to 795 of the family's 1533-position model. The record is from RNAcentral. Lineage: Bacteria; Pseudomonadati; Pseudomonadota; Gammaproteobacteria; Oceanospirillales; Halomonadaceae.